UGCCAGCAGCCGCGGUAAUACUGAAGGUGCAAGCGUUAAUCGGAAUCACUGGGCGUAAAGAGCAUGUAGGCGGAUUGGACAGUUGAGGGUGAAAUCCCAGAGCUCAACUCUGGAACUGCCUUCAAUACUUCCAGUCUAGAGUCCGUAAGGGGGUGGUGGAAUUCCGAGUGUAGAGGUGAAAUUCGUAGAUAUUCGGAGAAACACCAGUGGCGAAGGCGGCUUACUGGCUCGAUACUGACGCUGAGGUGCGAAAGUGUGGGGAGCAAACAGGAUUAGAUA
Molecule: ribosomal RNA, 279 nt
Filed under: uncultured bacterium
Lineage: Bacteria
Description: partial 16S ribosomal RNA
Rfam family: Bacterial small subunit ribosomal RNA
Source: RNAcentral